RNAcentral lists this transfer RNA (85 nucleotides) under Felis catus (domestic cat). It matches the Rfam family "tRNA". From Rfam's summary of the family: Transfer RNA (tRNA) molecules are approximately 80 nucleotides in length. Their secondary structure includes four short double-helical elements and three loops (D, anti-codon, and T loops). Further hydrogen bonds mediate the characteristic L-shaped molecular structure. tRNAs have two regions of fundamental functional importance: the anti-codon, which is responsible for specific mRNA codon recognition, and the 3' end, to which the tRNAs corresponding amino acid is attached (by aminoacyl-tRNA synthetases). tRNAs cope with the degeneracy of the genetic code in two manners: having more than one tRNA (with a specific anti-codon) for a particular amino acid; and 'wobble' base-pairing, i.e. permitting non-standard base-pairing at the 3rd anti-codon position. The record is from Rfam by way of RNAcentral. RNAcentral also lists the same sequence under 3 other names. Lineage: Eukaryota; Metazoa; Chordata; Mammalia; Carnivora; Felidae.
GCCUGGAUGGCUCAGUGGUUUGAGUGUCAGACUUUGGCUCAGGUCAUGAUAUCACUGUUCAUGAGUUCAAGCCCCAUACCAGGCU